AGCCAUGCGUUGAGUACAUAGCGAACUAUUCUUUCGCCUUUUACUAAAGAAUACCGUGUGCGCGGCGCUUUAAGUGGCAUACGUCUAUUUUUGGAAGGGUGCAUCUUUGUGGGUGCC
This 117-nucleotide small nuclear RNA is filed under the name Rosa chinensis. RNAcentral's name for it is "sRNA RchiOBHm_Chr4g0425251". It matches the Rfam family "U5 spliceosomal RNA". Rfam says of the family: U5 RNA is a component of both types of known spliceosome. The precise function of this molecule is unknown, though it is known that the 5' loop is required for splice site selection and p220 binding, and that both the 3' stem-loop and the Sm site are important for Sm protein binding and cap methylation. Lineage: Eukaryota; Viridiplantae; Streptophyta; Magnoliopsida; Rosales; Rosaceae. The record is from Rfam by way of RNAcentral.